AACGAACGCUGGCGGCAGGCCUAACACAUGCAAGUCGAACGGGACCUUCGGGUCUAGUGGCGGACGGGUGAAUAACGCGUGGGAACGUGCCCUUUGGUUCGGAAUAGCCCUGGGAAACUGGGAGUAAUACCGGAUACGGUCGAGAGACGAAAGAUUUAUCGCCGAAGGAUCGGCCCGCGUUGGAUUAGGUAGUUGGUGGGGUAAUGGCCUACCAAGCCGACGAUCCAUAGCUGGUUUGAGAGGAUGAUCAGCCACACUGGGACUGAGACACGGCCCAGACUCCUACGGGAGGCAGCAGUGGGGUAUCUUAGACAAUGGGGGAAACCCUGAUCUAGCCAUGCCGCGUGAGCGAUGAAGGCCUUAGGGUUGUAAAGCUCUUUCAGUGGGGAAGAUAAUGACGGUACCCACAGAAGAAGCCCCGGCUAACUCCGUGCCAGCCGCCGCGGUAA
RNAcentral lists this ribosomal RNA (449 nucleotides) under uncultured bacterium. RNAcentral describes it as "partial 16S ribosomal RNA". It matches the Rfam family "Bacterial small subunit ribosomal RNA", at positions 29 to 523 of the family's 1533-position model. The record is from RNAcentral.